RNAcentral lists this transfer RNA (60 nucleotides) under Chaetogammarus marinus. Its description in RNAcentral is "tRNA-Lys". Lineage: Eukaryota; Metazoa; Arthropoda; Malacostraca; Amphipoda; Gammaridae. The record is from RNAcentral.
UCACCAAGUGACCGAAUAGGUGUAAGUCUUUUAAACUUACCAUAGUUAUACUCUUGGUGA